This 255-nucleotide ribosomal RNA is filed under the name uncultured bacterium. RNAcentral's name for it is "partial 16S ribosomal RNA". It matches the Rfam family "Bacterial small subunit ribosomal RNA", at positions 524 to 777 of the family's 1533-position model. The record is from RNAcentral.
UACGGAGGGGGCUAACGUUGUUCGGAAUUACUGGGCGUAAAGCGCACGUAGGCGGCUUUGUAAGUUAGAGGUGAAAGCCCAGGGCUUAACCCUGGAAUUGCCUUUAAGACUGCAUCGCUAGAAUCGUGGAGAGGUGAGUGGAAUUCCGAGUGUAGAGGUGAAAUUCGUAGAUAUUCGGAAGAACACCAGUGGCGAAGGCGACUCACUGGACACGUAUUGACGCUGAGGUGCGAAAGCGUGGGGGAGCAAACAGGG